RNAcentral lists this unclassified non-coding RNA (253 nucleotides) under uncultured Hymenobacteraceae bacterium. RNAcentral's name for it is "contains 16S-23S intergenic spacer region". It matches the Rfam family "Bacterial small subunit ribosomal RNA", at positions 524 to 776 of the family's 1533-position model. The record is from RNAcentral. Lineage: Bacteria; Pseudomonadati; Bacteroidota; Cytophagia; Cytophagales; Hymenobacteraceae.
UACGGAGGGUGCAAGCGUUGUCCGGAUUUAUUGGGUUUAAAGGGUGCGUAGGCGGCCCGGUAAGUCAGUGGUGAAAGCCCAUCGCUCAACGAUGGAACUGCCAUUGAUACUGCCGGGCUUGAGUACAGACGAGGUAGGCGGAAUUGAUAGUGUAGCGGUGAAAUGCAUAGAUACUAUCAAGAACACCGAUUGCGUAGGCAGCUUACUAGGCUGUAACUGACGCUGAGGCACGAAAGCGUGGGGAGCGAACAGG